CACGAAGUUAGCCGGGGCUUCUUCUACGGCUACCGUCAUUAUCUUCACCGUUGAAAGAGCUUUACAACCCUAGGGCCUUCAUCACUCACGCGGCAUGGCUGGAUCAGGCUUGCGCCCAUUGUCCAAUAUUCCCCACUGCUGCCUCCCGUAGGAGUUUGGGCCGUGUCUCAGUCCCAAUGUGGCUGAUCAUCCUCUCAGACCAGCUAUGGAUCGUCGCCUUGGUAGGCCUUUACCCCACCAACUAGCUAAUCCAACGCGGGCUCAUCCAUCCCCGAUAAAUCUUUCCCCAAAAGGGCGUAUACGGUAUUAGCUCCAGUUUCCCGGAGUUGUUCCGUAGGGAUGGGUAGAUUCCCACGCGUUACUCACCCGUCUGCCGCUGACCCCGAAGGGCCCGCUCGACUUGCAUGUGUUAAGCCUGCCGCCAGCGUUCGUUCUGAGCCAGGAUCAAACUCU
This 453-nucleotide ribosomal RNA is filed under the name uncultured Hyphomicrobiales bacterium. Its description in RNAcentral is "uncultured Rhizobiales bacterium partial 16S ribosomal RNA". Lineage: Bacteria; Pseudomonadati; Pseudomonadota; Alphaproteobacteria; Hyphomicrobiales. The record is from RNAcentral.